AAGUCGUAACAAGGUUUCCGUAGGUGAACCUGCGGAAGGAUCAUUAGUGAAGUUCGGAAUGCAUGUUCGAUGUUGAUGCUGCCCAGCAAUGGGAUGUGCUCGCUCGGAUGUGUGUCCCUUCUCUAUCCACCCCAUUGUGAACCAAGUGUGUGAGCCGAAGAGAAAUCGGACGCUCGCAUGCAAACCUUUAACAUACCCCAAUGAAGUAUCAGAAUGUACCUUGCGUUAACUCGCACAAAUAUAACUUUCAACAACGGAUCUCUUGGCUCUC
This 271-nucleotide unclassified non-coding RNA is filed under the name Peniophora albobadia. RNAcentral describes it as "partial internal transcribed spacer region". The stretch from base 1 to 46 matches the Rfam family "Eukaryotic small subunit ribosomal RNA", at positions 1786 to 1831 of the family's 1831-position model. The record is from RNAcentral. Lineage: Eukaryota; Fungi; Basidiomycota; Agaricomycetes; Russulales; Peniophoraceae.